RNAcentral lists this ribosomal RNA (463 nucleotides) under uncultured bacterium. RNAcentral's name for it is "bacterial SSU rRNA". It matches the Rfam family "Bacterial small subunit ribosomal RNA", at positions 26 to 507 of the family's 1533-position model. The record is from RNAcentral.
AGGACGAACGCUGGCGGCGUGCUUAACACAUGCAAGUCGAACGGUAAGGCCCUUCGGGGUACACGAGUGGCGAACGGGUGAGUAACACGUGGGUGAUCUGCCCUGCACUUCGGGAUAAGCUUGGGAAACUGGGUCUAAUACCGGAUAGGACCACGGUCUGCAUGGAUUGUGGUGGAAAGCUUUUGCGGUGUGGGAUGGGCCCGCGGCCUAUCAGCUUGUUGUGGGGUGAUGGCCUACCAAGGCGACGACGGGUAGCCGGCCUGAGAGGGUGUCCGGCCACACUGGGACUGAGAUACGGCCCAGACUCCUACGGGAGGCAGCAGUGGGGAAUAUUGCACAAUGGGCGCAAGCCUGAUGCAGCGACGCCGCGUGGGGGAUGACGGCCUUCGGGUUGUAAACCUCUUUCAGCAGGGACGAAGGGUGACUGACGGUACCUGUAGAAGAAGCACCGGCCAACUACGUG